This 442-nucleotide ribosomal RNA is filed under the name uncultured bacterium. Its description in RNAcentral is "partial 16S ribosomal RNA". It matches the Rfam family "Bacterial small subunit ribosomal RNA", at positions 338 to 795 of the family's 1533-position model. The record is from RNAcentral.
CCUACGGGUGGCAGCAGUAGGGAAUCUUUCACAAUGGGCGAAAGCCUGAUGGAGCAACGCCGCGUGCAGGAUGAAGGCUUUCGGGUUGUAAACUGCUUUCAUAAGCGAGAAAUAUGAUGGUAACUUAUGAAUAAGGAUCGGCUAACUACGUGCCAGCAGCCGCGGUCAUACGUAGGAGCCGAGCAUUAUCCGGAGUGACUGGGUGUAAAGAGUUGCGUAGGUGGCAUAAGAAGUAGCUAGUGAAAUCUGGUGGCUCAACCAUUCUGACUAUUAGCUAAACUGUUAAGCUCGAGACCGUUAGGGGUAACUGGAAUUUCUAGUGUAGGAGUGAAAUGCGUAGAUAUUAGAAGGAACACCAAUAGCGAAGGCAGGUUGCUGGGACGGUUCUGACGCUAAGGCACGAAAGCGUAGGGAGCAAACGGGAUUAGAUACCCCAGUAGUC